RNAcentral lists this ribosomal RNA (497 nucleotides) under uncultured bacterium. RNAcentral describes it as "partial 16S ribosomal RNA". It matches the Rfam family "Bacterial small subunit ribosomal RNA", at positions 28 to 507 of the family's 1533-position model. The record is from RNAcentral.
GAUGAACGCUGGCGGCGUGCCUAAUACAUGCAAGUCGAGCGAACAGAUGAGGAGCUUGCUCCUCUGACGUUAGCGGCGGACGGGUGAGUAACACGUGGAUAACCUACCUAUAAGACUGGGAUAACUUCGGGAAACCGGAGCUAAUACCGGAUAAUAUAUUGAACCGCAUGGUUCAAUAGUGAAAGACGGUUUUGCUGUCACUUAUAGAUGGAUCCGCGCCGCAUUAGCUAGUUGGUAAGGUAACGGCUUACCAAGGCAACGAUGCGUAGCCGACCUGAGAGGGUGAUCGGCCAAACUGGAACUGAGACACGGUCCAGACUCCAACGGGAGGCAGCAGUAGGGAAUCUUCCGCAAUGGGCGAAAGCCUGACGGAGCAACGCCGCGUGAGUGAUGAAGGUCUUCGGAUCGUAAAACUCUGUUAUUAGGGAAGAACAAAUGUGUAAGUAACUAUGCACGUCUUGACGGUACCUAAUCAGAAAGCCACGGCUAACUACGUG